Molecule: ribosomal RNA, 528 nt
Filed under: uncultured bacterium
Lineage: Bacteria
Description: bacterial SSU rRNA
Rfam family: Bacterial small subunit ribosomal RNA
Source: RNAcentral
AAUGAUACCCGGGUAGUCCACGCCGUAAACGAUGAGUGCUAAGUGUUAGGGGGUUUCCGCCCCUUAGUGCUGCAGCUAACGCAUUAAGCACUCCGCCUGGGGAGUACGGCCGCAAGGCUGAAACUCAAAGGAAUUGACGGGGGCCCGCACAAGCGGUGGAGCAUGUGGUUUAAUUCGAAGCAACGCGAAGAACCUUACCAGGUCUUGACAUCCUCUGACACUCCCAGAGAUAGGACGUUCCCCUUCGGGGGACAGAGUGACAGGUGGUGCAUGGUUGUCGUCAGCUCGUGUCGUGAGAUGUUGGGUUAAGUCCCGCAACGAGCGCAACCCUUGUUCUUAGUUGCCAGCAUUCAGUUGGGCACUCUAAGGAGACUGCCGGUGACAAACCGGAGGAAGGUGGGGAUGACGUCAAAUCAUCAUGCCCCUUAUGACCUGGGCUACACACGUGCUACAAUAGAUGGUACAAAGGGCAGCAAAGCCGCGAGGCCUAGCCAAUCCCAUAAAACCAUUCUCAGUUCGGAUUGUAGG